GUUUUACAGCGCAGAGAAAACCAUCCCCGCACGCCCCUCCACGAUCCCUACCCGAUUCACGCAUCUCACCCUCCCUCCUGCACGAGCAUCCGCCGCCGCCGAUGCGUUGGCUGCCUCCCUCCCCCAUCGCCGGCCACCUCUCGCCCCUCAUAGCCGGUCGCCUCCCUCCACCGGAUGCCGACCACCUACUUCACCGCGCCGACCGCCUACAUCCCAGCCGCCGGCCAUGACCAGAUCCACACCGGCGUUCCCGCAUCGGCGCCACCACGACCACGCAGCGGCAGAGGAGUCCUCCUCCUCCCACCACCACCGCGCCCUCCUCCUUCCACCUCCACACCCAUCCAUCCCUCCCUGCUCGCGCCCGAAACCCUAGCCCGCGGGCGGCCAUGGUGACCGAGCUCAGGAUCCGUAGCAUCUUCCUCUCCUCCGAGAGCAAGAGCGGCAACGUCCGCAAGGUCAGUUUGCUCCCUCCGAUCUGCUCUGCUGGCGUGAAGGGGCCCGGCCAAGGAGAAGCUGCUGCUGCUGCAGGUUCUUCCUCCUCCCCGCUGUAGGUGGUACCUCGAAGGUCAAGAGACCAAGGUAUCGUGAGGAGUGCAUAUGGCCUGAUGUUCCUUGUGUGUAUCGUGAGGAUUUGGGAGCAUCGGCGACGGACAAUUAACUAGCUAGGUCAUGGUAUUACGAUUUGCCAGGUCAUGGUACACAGGCUAACUACACAAGCUUCUGCUGUUUUAUUGUUGGUCGUUCCCGUCCACUGCUGCCAACAGUCAAUUUUCUGCAGGGUUUUUAUUUCUUUCUCUUCCAUCGAAAGCUCCUUUUUGCCACUGAUUAAUUAGUUGAUGCAUGUGGAGAUUUUCGAUACUAGGAGAACCAAGUUUAAAUAUGUGCAAUUCCAUCUAUCUAGCAUCAAUGUCGGGUGAGGUUAGACUACAAGAAAGACUAGAUAUUAAGCUUGUCCAUUCUGUCUACACCUUUUGAAUCUGAAGUGACUACUGUUGUAAAUAAUGCUACUUGAGUACCUGGUUGAUUGGUUUUGUUUAUUGUGGCAUUGAGUAGCCUACUACAUUAGUGGUGUCAGCUAUAUUUUGUAAGUUUGUUAUCGAUUCCAUUUGGGUAUAUGUGUGUGUGAUUGAAAAAUAAUGGUUUAGAUAUGAAUUGCUACAGUUUUUUAUAAUACUCUUUGAUCUAUGCUGCUAGGUCUGCCGCUGCGUGCAUGACAACAUGAGGUGCCGCAAUCGGCGUGGUAUGCUGGUGGAUGAUGGCGACAGUGAGAUGGUUGGCAAGGAUUAUGAGAGGUCGGCGAGCAGCACUCCUUCCUCUCUUCCCUGUGGAGAAGAUGACCUGCAGCUCAUUGACUGCUGAGUUCCCUCGAGUCUCUCUUUCUUCCGGCAAGGUAAAGUUCAGUUUUCUGGUGACCAUGUUUAUUAAAUUCUUUGGUAGAAUCCAUAUUGAUUCUAAGAUGACAUUAUAGUGCAUUUUUGUCCAGACAUAUGAUUUUUCAUCAUCUGGUGUAUGUCGAUAUAGCACAGCCCACACAUACCCUCCUACCCUGAGUAAAUCUGAAUCCCCAUAUUUCAGUUCUGAACUCCAAAAUGUCGUACUCAAAUGGCUUGACCCCAGAUCCAUGUUCUGGACUCUUGAUAUUUUGUGAGGCCUUUUCAUUUAGCUGCUCAAUCUACAUAUGCAGAAAACCACUCUCUGGAUGCGUGCAUUUCUGGCUGUACCUGAAGCUCUCUCCAACAAUCUCCUUCUCCAUCCAUACUUAUUUCAUAAACCAAAACCUUGCGUUUAUCACAAUACCUAUUUUAAGCUCACUCAGGAUGACAAAUAUAGUCACAAAGUUUUCUGGUUCUUCGGUGUUGAUAAAAAGAACACCUUUUUUCUAUUUCCUCUGAUCCUUGUUUAGUAACUACAACUCUCAUGUUGUAUUUGCUUUUACUGUUUCACCUCACCGUGAGUAUCUUUUUGACUCAUUCUUUGCUCACUAUUGUUCAGAUUCUACAUCAAGGCUUGUGGCUUACCUUAUGGAUCUUAAUUAAGUCACCCCUUGUAAUUUCCUGAGGUGCUACCUCAUCAUUCUUAGGUGGCUCCUUUUUUUCCAUUUUGUGGCAGUUGAUAGUUGUGUAGUACAUGGAUGAGGGACCUACUUAUUUAGCCUAUCAAAGAAUUAUCUCACUAGAUGUACGUAGGGAAAGAGAGCUCUUAUAUUGACACUCCUAGCACUUGAUAUAGGGUAAGCUUUUUUUCAAGUUGUUUAUAAUCUUGUGCUGGAAAAUAACAAUCAUAGAUUGCUAGGCAUUUGCCAUAAUGCCAUGCUAACUGAAAAUUGAUGUAAUCUCUGGUCUAAAAUGUCGUAGCUUGUUCUUUUGUACUUUCAUACACUCGUACUGACUACACAUAAUGUCAAAUGAUGCGAGUGUCAGUAUAUAUCAUCUAUGGAGUUGCUUGUGCUAUUGGAAUUUCACCAGUUGCUCCAGAGGUAUGCUUUGUGAAAAUACUUCAUUAGUAUAUCAUCAUUAAAUGAUGCACUGUUGUUUUAUAGUGGAGUGUGAUAUAGAUCAGAUUUCAUUUUGUAUUCAUUUCUGCUAUUGUUUCCUCUGUUCCUUUGAUGGUUUCGACGACUCUUACUAUAUAUAAUACCAUAAAAUAUAGUUUUUCAAUCACACACGCAAUUUACAGUGGCGAGCUACCAGAAUUUUUGUGUGUCAAAAAACAGAGUUUUGAGUGGUUCUGUACUCUUUCGAAUGUAAUUUUUUUUUGAAAAUUUCAAGAAUUUCUUCCAGUUUUAUAAACUGAACUCCUGCAUUAAGGUGUCCAGAAUUGUUUUACAAUGUGGAGUUUUGUGAAUCCAAAAAAAAUGAUUAGCAUAGAUAACCACUACAUACAGUACAUGUAGGUUGGUUAUGCAUGGAGAAUGAGGUUAGUAUUGUUAGAAGUUAGAACUGGGAGUUUUCCAGCACAUGACGGUUGCGGCCGUCUUCCAGCAUAUUGUUGCUUUUCAGCAGAACAAGAUGUUCGUCUCUUUGUCUUAUGGACUUCAAUAAGGUCGAUGGUAGCUUGCUGAAUAGGUUAAGGGAGACCCCACAGAUUUCUAAUGACCACACAGGGUAUUCUUGCUGGCGCCGCUGCUGGCAGAGGCGCGUGGUUGACAGGAGGAGCCGGGGAGUCAUGACGGUGGACAUGUGGAUGUUAUCAUGGCAUUGACACAUUUCGCUCUACCAACACUGCAUACCAACGUGACUGAAUGUUAUCGUUCCUUAGAUGCCCUAUCAAAUUCUUGCUUGACUUUUUGGUUUUGUAUGCUCGGAUGUAUGUUUCAGUUCCUACAUGGUAUUUCUCAUGUGGAGUUGAAACCACACUUGGUUGGUCCAAUAGCAAAUAAUCAUAUGUUUCACUCUGAAAUCAUAUUGCAUAUAGAGUGAUGUUACGUUCUUGUGCAAAUUACUGCACACAUAUACAUGGAGUUACCUGAAAAAGUCUCACACUUGGGCUCCUGCAAGUAACACUGUCUCUCGCUUGUAGAGUUUGCAAGUGGUUAUAAUUGUCAUACUACUAGGUAACAGCCUUACUCGAAUCAGCCUUGACCUUGUAUAAUAUACAUAGUUAUUUGGUGCAUGGUAUUUUUUAGUGAAUUUGAUCAAAACUGUUAUUUUAAGUACAUUUGUACUUUAGUUGUUUAUUCAAAUAAAUUUCCCAGUAAGUUGAUUUUAUAGCAUGGUCAUAACGUUGACAUUAUGAAUUGAUUUGUGAAGCACAAAAACACAAUAACAGUUGGGAGGGUUGCUUUGUAUCCCUAGACCCACACCCACACCCGACCGCCAUCUCCCAUUUUCCUCAGUAUCGCGACCUGAUGCGACGUUGGCAGCGCAAUCAGUCGGAGGAGGCCAGCGGUGGGGAAAGGUCGCUCGUCAUCGCGGCACCAGCAAUUCCACGAUCGCAUAAUACCCGAAUGUUGAUGACCUCCAGAACUCUCCGGCCUCCUCCCAUCAGGCGUACUAUUGUUCAAGAUAGUGUGUGUGACAUAUGUGGGAACGGGGAGGAAGAUGAAUAUCAUGUUGUUAUAUCAUGCACAAAAAGUAAGGCGUUCAGAUUUGCCAUGAGGAAAGAAUGGAGGCUUCCAGAAGAAAAGGAGUUCUGGUACACUGGAACAGACUGGCUACAAAUCCUACUGGACAAGUAUGAUUCAGAGAUAAGAAAGAAAAUUCUGCUGUUGUUAUGGAGAGCCUGGUUUCUACGAGAUAACUGUAUCCACAGUGAUGGCAAAGAAACCAUUUCGAGAUCGGUGAUGUUCCUUGUGCAGUAUGAGGAGGAAAUCAGGAAUUUGUCGCUAUCUGUUGUUGGACAGGGAAACAAGAGUUGCUGGUCCCUGUCUGCAUCUAUGCAGACACACCACACCUAGGAAUCAGCCGAACGCCGAGCCAAAUGCCCAGUGGAAAGAGCCGCCUGAAGGUGUUGUAAAACUGAACACUGACGCUGCCUUUUUGUCAGGCACGGGCCAAGCCUAGGCUGGCGCGAUCGCACGGGAUCAUACGGGGCAUGUUGUCUUCUCGGCGAGUAAAUCGAUGAAUAAAUGCAGAUCAGUUGAAGAGGCAGAGGGGCAAGCUAUCCUGAUGGGUCUGGUAUCGCUGUCGAGACCGUACCAAGGCCCACUGAUCAUUGAGACUGACAUCAAAAUGAUUGCAAAUGAAUUGGGACAAGCCAGAUCAAGCCGAUCGGAUUGUUUUCUGGGUUGUCAGUGAGAUUAAAAACACAAGCCGGAUCUUCAGUUCAGGCCAAGGCCAUGAAAAGGGAACAAAACUGUCUAGCACAUGAGCUUGGCUGCCAGAGCUAGACGGCAUCAGGACUCACUGAUAAUUGCGGACGUGCCCGAGGAGCUUCGUUCGCUGAUGCUAUCUGAAUGUACCAAGUGAUGUGUUUGGUCCUUUUUUAGGCUAUCUUGAACGAUUGCAGGUUUUAAUCAAGAAGUCCUCAAUAGGUGGACUGGCUCAAAAUGGAGAAGCACGCUGGUAGCUUUUUGGUUGAUUGUAUUAAGCAUUUAAGUUCGUAGCAAUUCAUACCAUCAAUAUCUUUGGGGGUGCCUUGUACUCCUUCCGUAAAAUAAUACAAGAGCGUAGUGAUCUAAACGCUCUUAUAUUAUAGUUUACAGAGGGAGUAAUAUUUUAGAAAAUUAUGCCUUUUUUGGCCUAAUGUGGCGUGCUGUCCAUAGACAUCCUUACCCCAUUUCCUCCUCACAUAUGGCUUGGGUUUUGGGAUAGCAAGACAUACGAAGACAAUUUGGGGGUGCCGAUUCUCUCUCUCCCUCUUGCUAAUAGAAUUAUGAACAACCGGUAAGACUAAUAUUAUAGACCAUGUAUUCUUUGACUUUUGUGCUAACACAGGAAAAAUGUGUUGUAAA
Non-coding RNA from Aegilops tauschii subsp. strangulata, 5392 nucleotides. NCBI's taxonomy places the organism in Eukaryota, Viridiplantae, Streptophyta, Magnoliopsida, Poales, Poaceae. The record is from RefSeq and is a predicted model, not a curated record.